Molecule: ribosomal RNA, 522 nt
Filed under: Colletotrichum gloeosporioides
Lineage: Eukaryota; Fungi; Ascomycota; Sordariomycetes; Glomerellales; Glomerellaceae
Description: eukaryotic LSU rRNA
Rfam family: 5.8S ribosomal RNA (bases 205-358)
Source: RNAcentral
UUUCCGUAGGUGAACCUGCGGAGGGAUCAUUACUGAGUUUACGCUCUACAACCCUUUGUGAACAUACCUAUAACUGUUGCUUCGGCGGGUAGGGUCUCCGCGACCCUCCCGGCCUCCCGCCUCCGGGCGGGUCGGCGCCCGCCGGAGGAUAACCAAACUCUGAUUUAACGACGUUUCUUCUGAGUGGUACAAGCAAAUAAUCAAAACUUUUAACAACGGAUCUCUUGGUUCUGGCAUCGAUGAAGAACGCAGCGAAAUGCGAUAAGUAAUGUGAAUUGCAGAAUUCAGUGAAUCAUCGAAUCUUUGAACGCACAUUGCGCCCGCCAGCAUUCUGGCGGGCAUGCCUGUUCGAGCGUCAUUUCAACCCUCAAGCUCUGCUUGGUGUUGGGGCCCUACAGCUGAUGUAGGCCCUCAAAGGUAGUGGCGGACCCUCUCGGAGCCUCCUUUGCGUAGUAACUUUACGUCUCGCACUGGGAUCCGGAGGGACUCUUGCCGUAAAACCCCCAAUUCCAAAGGUUGACC